This 253-nucleotide ribosomal RNA is filed under the name uncultured bacterium. Its description in RNAcentral is "partial 16S ribosomal RNA". It matches the Rfam family "Bacterial small subunit ribosomal RNA", at positions 524 to 776 of the family's 1533-position model. The record is from RNAcentral.
AACGUAGGAGACAAACGUUAUCCGGAGUUACUGGGCGUAAAGGGCGUGUAGGUGGUUACGUAAGUCUGGCGUGAAAUUUCUCGGCUUAACCGAGGCAGGUCGUCGGAUACUGCGAGACUAGAGGACGGUAGAGGCGUGUGGAAUUCCGGGUGUAGUGGUGAAAUGCGUAGAGAUCCGGAGGAACACCAGUGGCGAAGGCGACACGCUGGGCCGUACCUGACACUGAGGCGCGAUAGCAUGGGGGGCAAACAGG